Molecule: ribosomal RNA, 828 nt
Filed under: uncultured bacterium
Lineage: Bacteria
Description: bacterial SSU rRNA
Rfam family: Bacterial small subunit ribosomal RNA
Source: RNAcentral
GGCUCAGAACGAACGCCGGGCGGCGUGCCUAACACAUGCAAGUCGAGCGGGAAAGCCCGCAAGGGUGAGUACAGCGGCGCACGGGUGCGUAACACGUGGGUAAUCUGCCCUGAAGCCCGGAAUAACCUCCCGAAAGGGAAGCUAAUACCGGAUGAGACCACGGGAGCCUCGGCUCCCGCGGGAAAAGGUGGCCUCUGCAUGCAAGCUAUCACUUCAGGAUGAGCCCGCGGCCCAUCAGCUCGUUGGCGGGGUAAUGGCCCACCAAGGCUACGACGGGUAGCUGGUCUGAGAGGACGAUCAGCCACACUGGAACUGAGACACGGUCCAGACUCCUACGGGAGGCAGCAGUGGGGAAUCUUGCGCAAUGGGCGAAAGCCUGACGCAGCAACGCCGCGUGUGUGAUGAAGGUCUUCGGAUCGUAAAGCACUGUCGGGAGGGACGAAUAACGGCCAGGUGAACAAUCUGGUCGGAUGACGGUACCUCCAAAGGAAGCACCGGCUAACUCUGUGCCAGCAGCCGCGGUAAUACAGAGGGUGCAAGCGUUGUUCGGAAUUAUUGGGCGUAAAGCGCGUGUAGGCGGUCUCGCAAGUCGGAUGUGAAAGCCCUCGGCUUAACCGAGGAAGUGCGUUCGAUACUACGAGACUUGAGUGCCGGAGAGGGUGGCGGAAUUCCCGGUGUAGAGGUGAAAUUCGUAGAUAUCGGGAGGAACACCAGCGGCGAAGGCGGCCACCUGGACGGUAACUGACGCUGAGACGCGAAAGCGUGGGGAGCAAACAGGAUUAGAUACCCUGGUAGUCCACGCUGUAAACGAUGAGUGCUAGGUGUUGU